ACAACAAAGAGUCCCUCCCGACUGUUUACCAAAAACACAGCACUCUGCUAACUCGUAAGAGGAUGUAUAGGGUGUGACGCCUGCCCGGUGCUCGAAGGUUAAUUGAUGGGGUUAGCAUUAGCGAAGCUCUUGAUCGAAGCCCGAGUAAACGGCGGCCGUAACUAUAACGGUCCUAAGGUAGCGAAAUUCCUUGUCGGUUAAAUACCGACCUGCAUGAAUGGCGUAACGAGAUGGGAGCUGUCUCAAAGAGGGAUCCAGUGAAAUUGUAGUGGAGGUGAAAAUUCCUCCUACCCGCGGCAAGACGGAAAGACCCCGUGGACCUUUACUACAGCUUGACACUGCUAUUUGGAUAAGAAUGUGCAGGAUAGGUGGGAGGCUUUGAGUAUAUGACGCCAGUUGUAUAUGAGCCAUUGUUGAGAUACCACUCUUUCUUAUUUGGGUAGCUAACCAGCUUGAGUUAUCCUCAAGUGGGACAAUGUCUGGUGGGUAGUUUGACUGGGGCGGUCGCCUCCCAAAUAAUAACGGAGGCUUACAAAGGUUGGCUCAUAGCGGUUGGAAAUCGCUAGUAGAGUAUAAAGGUAUAAGCCAGCUUAACUGCAAGACAUACAAGUCAAGCAGAGACGAAAGUCGGUCUUAGUGAUCCGGUGGUUCUGUGUGGAAGGGCCAUCGCUCAAAGGAUAAAAGGUACCCCGGGGAUAACAGGCUGAUCUCCCCCAAGAGCUCACAUCGACGGGGAGGUUUGGCACCUCGAUGUCGGCUCAUCGCAUCCUGGGGCUGGAGCAGGUCCCAAGGGUAUGGCUGUUCGCCAUUUAAAGCGGUACGCGAGCUGGGUUCAGAACGUCGUGAGACAGUUCGGUCCCUAUCUGCCGUGGGCGUAAGAAGAUUGAAGAGAUUUGACCCUAGUACGAGAGGACCGGGUUGAACAAACCACUGGUGUAGCUGUUGUUCUGCCAAGAGCAUCGCAGCGUAGCUAAGUUUGGAAAGGAUAAACGCUGAAAGCAUCUAAGCGUGAAGCCAACUCUAAGAUGAAUCUUCUCUAAGCUCUCUAGAAGACUACUAGUUUGAUAGGCUGGGUGUGUAAUGGAUGAAAGUCCUUUAGCUGACCAGUACUAAUAGAGCGUUUGGC
RNAcentral lists this ribosomal RNA (1126 nucleotides) under Campylobacter upsaliensis. RNAcentral's name for it is "partial 23S ribosomal RNA". It matches the Rfam family "Bacterial large subunit ribosomal RNA", at positions 1779 to 2925 of the family's 2925-position model. The record is from RNAcentral. Lineage: Bacteria; Pseudomonadati; Campylobacterota; Epsilonproteobacteria; Campylobacterales; Campylobacteraceae.